Molecule: ribosomal RNA, 734 nt
Filed under: uncultured Bacilli bacterium
Lineage: Bacteria; Bacillati; Bacillota; Bacilli
Description: bacterial SSU rRNA
Rfam family: Bacterial small subunit ribosomal RNA
Source: RNAcentral
GCCUAAUACAUGCAAGUCGAGCGAAGUUUUUCUGGUGCUUGCACUAGAAAAACUUAGCGGCGAACGGGUGAGUAACACGUAAAGAACCUGCCUCAUAGACUGGGACAACUAUUGGAAACGAUAGCUAAUACCGGAUAACAGCAUUAACUGCAUGGUUGAUGUUUAAAAGUUGGUUUUGCUAACACUAUGAGAUGGCUUUGCGGUGCAUUAGCUAGUUGGUGGGGUAAAGGCCUACCAAGGCGACGAUGCAUAGCCGACCUGAGAGGGUGAUCGGCCACACUGGGACUGAGACACGGCCCAGACUCCUACGGGAGGCAGCAGUAGGGAAUCUUCCGCAAUGGGCGAAAGCCUGACGGAGCAACGCCGCGUGAGUGAAGAAGGAUUUCGGUUCGUAAAGCUCUGUUGUUAGGGAAGAAUGAUUGUGUAGUAACUAUACACAGUAGAGACGGUACCUAACCAGAAAGCCACGGCUAACUACGUGCCAGCAGCCGCGGUAAUACGUAGGUGGCAAGCGUUGUCCGGAAUUAUUGGGCGUAAAGCGCGCGCAGGUGGUUUAAUAAGUCUGAUGUGAAAGCCCACGGCUCAACCGUGGAGGGUCAUUGGAAACUGUUAAACUUGAGUGCAGGAGAGAAAAGUGGAAUUCCUAGUGUAGCGGUGAAAUGCGUAGAGAUUAGGAGGAACACCAGUGGCGAAGGCGGCUUUUUGGCCUGUAACUGACACUGAGGCGCGAAAGC